GCGGGAUUGUGCCAGCAGCCGCGGUAAUACGGAGGGUGCAAGCGUUAAUCGGAAUUACUGGGCGUAAAGCGCACGCAGGCGGUUUGUUAAGUCAGAUGUGAAAUCCCCGGGCUCAACCUGGGAACUGCAUCUGAUACUGGCAAGCUUGAGUCUCGUAGAGGGGGGUAGGAUUCCAGGUGUAGCGGUGAAAUGCGUAGAGAUCUGGAGGAAUACCGGUGGCGAAGGCGGCCCCCUGGACGAAGACUGACGCUCAGGUGCGAAAGCGUUGGGGAGCAAACAGGAUUAGAUACCCUGGUAGUCCACGCCGUAAACGAUGUCGACUGGGAGGUUGUGCCCUUGAGGCGUGGCUUCCGGAGCUAACGCGUUAAGUCGACCGCCUGGGGAGUACGGCCGCAAGGUUUAAAACUCAAAUGAAUUGACGGGGGCCCGCACAAGCGGUGGAGCAUGUGGUUUAAUUCGAUGCAACGCGAAGAACCUUACCUGGUCUUGACAUCCACGGAAGUUUUCAGAGAUGAGAAUGUGCCUUCGGGAACCGUGAGACAGGUGCUGCAUGGCUGUCGUCAGCUCGUGUUGUGAAAUGUUGGGUUAAGUCCCGCAACGAGCGCAACCCUUAUCCUUUGUUGCCAGCGGUCCGGCCGGGAACUCAAAGGAGACUGCCAGUGAUAAACUGGAGGAAGGUGGGGGAUGACGUCAAGUCAUCAUGGCCCCUUACGACCAGGGCUACACACGUGCUACAAUGGCGCAUACAAAGAGAAGCGACCUCGCGAGAGCAAGCGGACCUCAUAAAGUGCGUCGUAGUCCGGAUUGGAGUCUGCAACUCGACUCCAUGAAGUCGGAAUCGCUAGUAAUCGUGGAUCAGAAUGCCACGGUGAAUACGCUCCCGGGCCUUGUACACACCGCCCGUCACCCCAUGGGAGUGGGUUGCAAAAGAAGUAGGUAGCUUAACCUUCGGGAGGGCGCUUACC
RNAcentral lists this ribosomal RNA (965 nucleotides) under uncultured bacterium. Its description in RNAcentral is "bacterial SSU rRNA". It matches the Rfam family "Bacterial small subunit ribosomal RNA", at positions 496 to 1458 of the family's 1533-position model. The record is from RNAcentral.